RNAcentral lists this ribosomal RNA (429 nucleotides) under uncultured bacterium. RNAcentral's name for it is "bacterial SSU rRNA". It matches the Rfam family "Bacterial small subunit ribosomal RNA", at positions 355 to 776 of the family's 1533-position model. The record is from RNAcentral.
UAGGGAAUCUUCCGCAAUGGACGAAAGUCUGACGGAGCAACGCCGCGUGAGUGAAGAAGGUUUUCGGAUCGUAAAACUCUGUUGUCAGGGAAGAACAAGUACGGGAGUAACUGACCGUACCUUGACGGUACCUGGCCAGAAAGCCACGGCUAACUACGUGCCAGCAGCCGCGGUAAUACGUAGGUGGCAAGCGUUGUCCGGAAUUAUUGGGCGUAAAGCGCGCGCAGGCGGCCUUUUAAGUCUGAUGUGAAAGCCCCCGGCUCAACCGGGGAGGGUCAUUGGAAACUGGAAGGCUUGAGUGCAGAAGAGAAGAGCGGAAUUCCACGUGUAGCGGUGAAAUGCGUAGAGAUGUGGAGGAACACCAGUGGCGAAGGCGGCUCUUUGGUCUGUAACUGACGCUGAGGCGCGAAAGCGUGGGGAGCGAACAGG